RNAcentral lists this ribosomal RNA (2466 nucleotides) under Triticum aestivum (bread wheat). Its description in RNAcentral is "partial small subunit ribosomal RNA". The record is from RNAcentral. Lineage: Eukaryota; Viridiplantae; Streptophyta; Magnoliopsida; Poales; Poaceae.
AUGCUCCAGCUCCAGCUCCAGCCCCCUCGCUUCCUGCCGCUCCCUCGCUCCCGCCUCCCCGGCCGCCGCCGCCGCCGCGCGACCGCGCCCGUCCUCGCCGUCCGCUCCCAGUGGAAGCUCCCCGAUGUCGACACCGAUGCGGUGCAGGAGCGGGUGCGUUCGUGGUUCUCCCGGGCGCGGGGCGCGGUGGUGGACGUCACGCAGGCGGCGCGGGAGCGGGGGAAGCGCAAGGAGGAGGCCGAUGGGAGGAAGAAGCAGCGGAAGGAGGAGGUGGAGGAGGAGCCGCUCGUCGCGGUGCCGGAGAUCACCCUGGAGCGGCGGGUCGGCCGCGGCUGGCUCUCCGUGGACGCCAUUGUCGCCAUCGAGCAGUUUGCUAGGUUGAAUGGGUUGACUGGGAGGCAGGUGCAGAGGAUCUUCAAAGCGCUUGCUCAUGAACAUGUCCACAAUGAUGCUCGAAGUCUAGUUGAAUAUUGCUGCUUCCGGUACUUGUCAAGAGAUAACUCCGAUUUUCAUCCAAGUCUGAGGGAGCUUGCAUUUCAAAGGCUUAUCUUUGUGACUAUGCUUGCAUGGAAUGAUCCAUAUGAUGAAGACAAUGAUCCACACUCUUCACUAGAUAACUACUCUAUACUGGGAAGACUUGUUGAAGAAGAUGCCUUUGUCCGAAUUGCUCCUGCUGUGGCAGGUGUUGCUGAUGCUUCAACAGCUCAUCAUCUCUUUAGGGCCCUUGUUGGCGCUGAAAAGGGACUGUCAUUGGAUCUUUGGACAACAUACCUUGGUGAACUUUUGAAGGUUCAUCAUGGGAGGCAAACACAUAAGAUUGGAGAUAAUUUUCUGUCUGAUGAGCAAGUUCUGUGCAUAGGCUCUAGUAGAAAGAGGCCUGUUCUAAAAUGGGAGCAGAAUACUGCAUGGCCCGGACACUUAACCUUGACCAACAAGGCACUCUAUUUUGAGGCCAUUGGACUGGCAGGUAUGAAGAAACCAUUGAGGCUUGACCUUACAGAUCAUAAUUCAAAGAUUGAAAAAGCAAAGGUUGGACCAUUUGGGUCCAGGUUAUUUGACUCUGCUGUAUCUGUUUCAUCUGGUUCAGUGUCAAAUGAGUGGACAUUAGAGUUUGUUGAUUUUGGUGGAGAGAUGAGACGAGAUGUAUGGCUUGCGUUCAUCAAUGAAAUUAUUUCUGUUUAUAAGUUCAUUCGUGAAUAUGGACCAAGCGAUGAUGAUCCAACCAUUCAUCAUGUAUAUGGUGCCCGCAGAGGCAAGAAAAGAGCUGUUAGUAGUGCAACAAACAGUAUUGCAAGGCUUCAGUCUCUGCAAUUCAUACGUAGAUUACACGAGGACCCAGCUAAGUUAGUACAGUUCUCCUACCUAUCAGGUGCACCUUUUGGUGAUGUUGUUCUUCAGACCCUAGCAGUGAGGUUCUGGGGUGGGUCACUGAUUACAAACUCGAAAGUGGCAAAUGAAAGAUCACUUCAAAGGCAUAAACAUUCAGAAGGCUCAUCUAGUGGUCGCUCACAGGUUUUCGACAUAGACGGUAGUGUGUACUUAGGCAAGUGGAUGACGUCUCCAAGCUGGGCAUCAAGCCAUUCAGUCAGUUUUUGGAGAGGCUCUUCAGUCAAGCAUGGUGUAAUAUUAAGUAAAUCCUUAGUUGUAGCUGAUAAAAAUCUUGUAGAGAAGGCGAUGGUUAUCUGUAAAGAAAAGAGCAAAGUAGUUGACAAGACACAUGCUACGAUUGUUGCUGCUACGGUUGAAGGUAUUCCAAGCAAUAUUGACCUCUUCAAGGAACUUGUACUUCCCUUCGCAAUAAUGGCUCAAAAAUUCAAGAAACUUCAACGCUGGGAGAAUCCCCGUUCAACCAUUUGUUUUCUACUGUUAGUUUAUACCGUUAUUUUCAGGAACAUGCUCUUUUAUAUAUUUCCGUUUACCUUGAUGGCGAUGGCCCUUUCCAUGCUUGCCCUGAAAGGGCUGAGAGAACAAGGCCGGCUGGGUAGAUCUUUUGGCAAAGUGACAAUAAGGGAUCAACCACCUUCCAACACAAUCCAGAAGAUCGUAGCUCUCAAAGAGGCAAUGGCCUCGGUCGAAAAUUCUCUGCAGCACCUCAAUGUCUCUCUUCUGAAGAUGCGCACAAUCUUUUUAGCAGGCCAACCUGAGGUUACAACUCAGGUUGCUCUCAUUCUUCUAGCAUCCUCUGCUGUUCUUCUCGUGGUUCCUUUCAGAUACAUUCUUGCCGUCUCUACCCUUGAUCUCUUCACAAGGGAGCUAGAGUUCCGGAGAGAAAUGGUGGCGGCGUUCAUAAGCUUUGUGAAGGAACGGUGGGAGUCAAUACACGCUGCCCCUGUGAUCGUGCUGCCAUACGAGGGCGACGAUAACAGCAACAAGACGCUCCCUGCAAAAGCUUCCAGGCAGACUGAAUCGAAAGACGUGCAAGACCAACGGAGUGACAUCUAUGUGAAUGGAAUCCGCCCUUCAUGA